This is a long non-coding RNA of Balaenoptera acutorostrata (minke whale), 784 nucleotides long. RefSeq lists it as uncharacterized. NCBI's taxonomy places the organism in Eukaryota, Metazoa, Chordata, Mammalia, Artiodactyla, Balaenopteridae. The transcript has 3 exons. The record is from RefSeq and is a predicted model, not a curated record.
CAGGGCUGUGUGCGGGGCCCGGGAGACAAGGCUGGAGGAGCUGGCAAAGGCAGUUCAAUCCGGGAUGUGGUGGCCACGUCACAGAGUUUGCCUUCCAGGUUAAGGAAGCCUUUGAAGGUUUCAAGCGGGGAAGUGACAUGGUCUGACUUGAGUGUGAAUCGCUCGCUCUGGCCAGCGUGUGGACAGAUCGCCAGCACCUCGUUUUUACCUUUUGGAGAUCUGACAGCGGAUUCCAACCUUGAUUCCACUGGGAACCAUUCAGGGAGCUUUAAAAAAUACUGACCCCCGACCUCGUUGGGGAUCAAGAAUGGAUCGAUGGAAUCAGUCUGAGGUACGGCCUGGGCAUCCAGAUGUUACAAUGCUCCUCACGGAUUCCACUACAUGGCCAUAGCUGAGAACCAUAGUCUAGAGACUGAACGAUGGCGGCCCCGCUGUAAACCAUUUCUCAAAGGCUCAGUCAAGCACGUAUGAACUUCAUGAGGCAGAAGGAUGAAGGUGACCGAAGCAUGAGGGUACCAUGGCCCAACACAGGCUCCCAGCUCUACCUCCUUCAUCUUCAACACACGCGACACCUGGACUAUCUGAUGCCCAGACUGAGUGAAGGGGCCAAGGUUUCACUUUUGUUUUCUAGAGAAGUAAAUGUAAAUAGUGGCUUUCUCAUCUACCACGCUUUAGAGGUGAAUGCUUGAGGGGCUCUGCUCCCCAACUUUUAUGAUUACACAAGCCCCAGUGCAUCUAAGUGGGGACCCCAAGGAGCCAAGAGAAACAGAGCCAAAAAGGCAAC